GGGACUUGUCUUGCCAUCGCAUACUAAAAUAUUGGAACCAUACAGAGAUUAGCAUGGUCUCUGCGCAAGGAUGAUAUGUAAACCUGUGAAGCAUUUCUUUAUUUA
This is a small nuclear RNA of Acomys russatus (golden spiny mouse), 105 nucleotides long. The record is from RefSeq and is a predicted model, not a curated record. Lineage: Eukaryota; Metazoa; Chordata; Mammalia; Rodentia; Muridae.